GGAUUAGAUACCCUGGUAGUCCACGCCGUAAACGAUGUCUACUAGCCGUUGGAGUCCUUGAGGCUUUGGUGGCGCAGCUAACGCACUAAGUAGACCGCCUGGGGAGUACGGCCGCAAGGUUAAAACUCAAAUGAAUUGACGGGGGCCCGCACAAGCGGUGGAGCAUGUGGUUUAAUUCGAUACGCGAGGAACCUUACCUGGGCUCGAACGCUACCGGCUAGCAGUUGAAAGGCUGUUUUCCUUCGGGACUGGUAGUGAGGUGCUGCAUGGUUGUCGUCAGCUCGUGUUG
RNAcentral lists this ribosomal RNA (289 nucleotides) under uncultured bacterium. Its description in RNAcentral is "partial 16S ribosomal RNA". It matches the Rfam family "Bacterial small subunit ribosomal RNA", at positions 775 to 1067 of the family's 1533-position model. The record is from RNAcentral.